AUAAUGAAAUAACUUAGGGGAAGGUGUUGUACCUUGGGACAGUUUGAAAACAAUUUUUUUAAUAUUUCGGUUAAGUUUAUAGUAGAAAUGUUGGUAAAUAUCUUAUUGCUUGCCAUUAAAGAAUCUAUAAACACUUUGAAAAUUAAAGAUGUGUUAUUUUAUAAAGGAGUAAUAAAUUAUUUUUUACACCCUUGAAAAGUAUUUCAAAAUACAACAACCAUGCACCUUGAGAAGUAGGGUGUUGUACCUUAGUACUAAUUAAAAAAUACAGCAAAUAAAUCUUAAUUAAUGAAGACAAAACAUUAUAUAAAAAGGCUUUAUCUGCCAGACUAGUUCAGAUGCACUGGAAUUCACAGGGAACUUGGAUAAUUGAAGACCCUGUUGCAAGGGGUGAAGGCAAUUGACCUAUUAUUUUUUUUCAUCUAUUUCUUUUAUAAUUUCAUUUCUUAAACGGAAAAUGUUAAUUCCUGUUUUACAAACACAAGAUCUUCCCGCUUUAACAAUUGAGUCCCCAAAUACGACAUAUUGAAAAACAGCAAAAGCGUGGCCUGUUAAAGUGUUUGCAAUUAGUUGUUCAAAUUAACUAACCUUACUAUUAAGUGGAACACAAUUAAAAGUUCCAUGCAAUAUCUUAAUUUUUAACACCAAUCAAUUUGGGGGGAAAAUGAAUGGAGUAAUAAUUUACUUUCCGAUGAAAUGUUUCCCUUUUUCUUUAUUGCUCCCACAAAUCUCACUUUGAAAUUGCUAGCUACUCUAUACUAACUUGGUUGCUAAGGAAAUUACUAGGUCAGGUUAGUUUUGUUAGUCGAUUAUUAAUGGCAAAGCCAUGCUGUUCGUCUCAAGGUACAACUAUCUCCCCUAUAAUUGAACCUAUUCAUUUAAAUUGUGGUAAACAGAAAGCUGUAAUGUGCACAGAAUAAAAGCCCUGUCCUUCAUGGGUUACAAUUUAGUCUUUUUGUACCUCUGAUCAGGCAUUGUUCAUGGUUUAAUUAAAAUUAUAAUAGGCUAUUCAAUUACAUAAGCAGUUAUUUUAAGAAACAAAAUGUAUAUUAUUUACAAUAUUUUGUUUCCAUAUAAAUUUCGUUUGAGAGCUUUUUAUAUUUUGCAUUAAAUUACAGCUAUUUUUAUAAAUGCAAAAAACCAAUUUACUUAUUAUUUUUAGUUGGACAAAGAAAUCGCCGGUUUUCCGACCAAGGAGGAGUUGGACUUAAUCAAAGAAAUCGUCGUUUCCCGGAACAGUCCAUGAGAGAGAGAGAAUUUUCUGAUAACGAUGGAGGAUUUCCCAGACGCAGACGUUUUGCUGGAAUCGCAGAUGAUUAGUUUUGUUUAUUGAACUUGUUAAAGAAAUAAAUAAAAAAGUUGUCAUUUACUCUGGCAUUGUAUUAUAACAUAAAAUGCAAUUUUUUAGCUUUCAUAUUUAUCAGCUGAAUUACAAAUAUCACAGGAUGAUGAAUUAGUAAUCCAAGUGUCAAUUCUUAUGUAUAGUUAUAGGUUGAAUAAAAUUUUUGUUCUCAA
Non-coding RNA from Parasteatoda tepidariorum (common house spider), 1515 nucleotides. NCBI's taxonomy places the organism in Eukaryota, Metazoa, Arthropoda, Arachnida, Araneae, Theridiidae. The record is from RefSeq and is a predicted model, not a curated record.